RNAcentral lists this ribosomal RNA (440 nucleotides) under uncultured bacterium. RNAcentral's name for it is "partial 16S ribosomal RNA". It matches the Rfam family "Bacterial small subunit ribosomal RNA", at positions 338 to 795 of the family's 1533-position model. The record is from RNAcentral.
CCUACGGGAGGCAGCAGUAGGGAAUAUUGCACAAUGGGGGAAACCCUGAUGCAGCAACGCCGCGUGGGGGAUGAAGGUUUUCGGAUUGUAAACUCCUUUUGUUAGAGAAGAUAAUGACGGUAUCUAACGAAUAAGCACCGGCUAACUCCGUGCCAGCAGCCGCGGUAAUACGUAGGGUGCAAGCGUUACUCGGAAUCACUGGGCGUAAAGAGCGCGUAGGCGGGAGAGCAAGUCAGAUGUGAAAUCCUAGGGCUUAACCAUAGAACUGCUUUUGAAACUGUUAUUCUAGAGUAUGGGAGAGGUAGGUGGAAUUCUUGGUGUAGGGGUAAAAUCCGUAGAGAUCAAGAGGAAUACUCAUUGCGAAGGCGACCUGCUAGAACAUAACUGACGCUGAUGCGCGAAAGCGUGGGGAGCAAACAGGAUUAGAUACCCGAGUAGUC